AAGUACAUAGUGUGUCUUAAGUACAUAGUGUAAUACUAGCUUUUAAGGUAGUGUAAACUAAAAUUUUUGG
This 70-nucleotide transfer RNA is filed under the name Holopristis ocellifer. Its description in RNAcentral is "Hemigrammus ocellifer tRNA-Pro". Lineage: Eukaryota; Metazoa; Chordata; Actinopteri; Characiformes; Acestrorhamphidae. The record is from RNAcentral.